This 496-nucleotide long non-coding RNA is filed under the name Sorghum bicolor (sorghum). RNAcentral's name for it is "long non-coding RNA (SBIC_LNC006865)". The record is from RNAcentral. Lineage: Eukaryota; Viridiplantae; Streptophyta; Magnoliopsida; Poales; Poaceae.
GCCUAUCCACGAAAAUGACCGGACAAAAAAAAUUCAGCUAGGGCCAUGCUUAGUUCACCCUAAAAACCAAAACUUUUUAAGAUUUCAUGUCACAUCGAAUUCUGCGGCACAUGCAAAAAGCAUUAAAUAUAGAUGAAAAUAAAAACUAAUUACACAGUUUGUCUGUAAAUCGUGAAAUGAAUCUUUUAAGUCUAGUUACUCUGUGAUUAGACUAAUAUAAAUAAAAAUGCUAUAAUGUUGUUUUUCAAAAAAAAUUGGAAACAAGGCCUAGGAUCCGACCACAAAACCAACCGCGUGAAAACAGGAACAAAAUGAAGCUCCGGCAAGAAGUGCUACAGAUCAGAUUAGCCAAGAAAGGAGAGUAGAGAAAUACACAGUUUAGUUAAAAUAAAAACGUGCCAGGACCCACUCAUCGACCGCGGGGUCGGAGCUAGCCUUAGGCCACUCGCCGACGACGCCGUCGCUCAGGCUGCUAUGCUCGGUGCCGUCCAGCCCG